GCUUCUUUUUCCACCGGAGCUUGCUCCACCGGAAAAAGAAGAGUAGGCGAACGGGUGAGUAACACGUGGGUAACCUGCCCAUCAGAAGGGGAUAACACUUGGAAACAGGUGCUAAUACCGUAUAACAAUCGAAACCGCAUGGUUUUGAUUUGAAAGGCGCUUUCGGGUGUCGCUGAUGGAUGGACCCGCGGUGCAUUAGCUAGUUGGUGAGGUAACGGCUCACCAAGGCCACGAUGCAUAGCCGACCUGAGAGGGUGAUCGGCCACAUUGGGACUGAGACACGGCCCAAACUCCUACGGGAGGCAGCAGUAGGGAAUCUUCGGCAAUGGACGAAAGUCUGACCGAGCAACGCCGCGUGAGUGAAGAAGGUUUUCGGAUCGUAAAACUCUGUUGUUAGAGAAGAACAAGGAUGAGAGUAACUGUUCAUCCCUUGACGGUAUCUAACCAGAAAGCCACGGCUAACUACGUGCCAGCAGCCGCGGUAAUACGUAGGUGGCAAGCGUUGUCCGGAUUUAUUGGGCGUAAAGCGAGCGCAGGCGGUUUCUUAAGUCUGAUGUGAAAGCCCCCGGCUCAACCGGGGAGGGUCAUUGGAAACUGGGAGACUUGAGUGCAGAAGAGGAGAGUGGAAUUCCAUGUGUAGCGGUGAAAUGCGUAGAUAUAUGGAGGAACACCAGUGGCGAAGGCGGCUCUCUGGUCUGUAACUGACGCUGAGGCUCGAAAGCGUGGGGAGCAAACAGGAUUAGAUACCCUGGUAGUCCACGCCGUAAACGAUGAGUGCUAAGUGUUGGAGGGUUUCCGCCCUUCAGUGCUGCAGCUAACGCAUUAAGCACUCCGCCUGGGGAGUACGACCGCAAGGUUGAAACUCAAAGGAAU
RNAcentral lists this ribosomal RNA (873 nucleotides) under Enterococcus faecium. RNAcentral's name for it is "bacterial SSU rRNA". It matches the Rfam family "Bacterial small subunit ribosomal RNA", at positions 67 to 910 of the family's 1533-position model. The record is from RNAcentral. Lineage: Bacteria; Bacillati; Bacillota; Bacilli; Lactobacillales; Enterococcaceae.